This 237-nucleotide long non-coding RNA is filed under the name Elaeis guineensis (African oil palm). RNAcentral describes it as "long non-coding RNA (EGUI_LNC075777)". The record is from RNAcentral. Lineage: Eukaryota; Viridiplantae; Streptophyta; Magnoliopsida; Arecales; Arecaceae.
AAUACUGAGUCCAAAUCCGAUGGACAAUCAGGCAUCAGAAUUCAUCGAUAUGUAAACCUGAUCGAAAAAUCCCAACCAGUGGGACUCUUGACCCCGGUACCCAUAAUGUGUGGAACUCAUGAUCAGAGAAUCCUAAUUCUCGAUCACUGAGUCUCAAACAUGUAGGAUUCUACAUCAGCCAUCAGAUCAGAUAAGAACCUCUAAUGUGUGUGACCCCACAGGUUCGAACCUAAGCCG